CCUACGGGUCGCAGCAGUGGGGAAUAUUGGACAAUGGGCGAAAGCCUGAUCCAGCAACGCCGCGUGAGUGAAGAAGGUUUUCGGAUCGUAAAACUCUGUUGUUAGAGAAGAACAAGUAGGAGAGUAACUGCUCUUACCUUGACGGUAUCUAACCAGAAAGCCACGGCUAACUACGUGCCAGCAGCCGCGGUAAUACGUAGGUGGCAAGCGUUGUCCGGAUUUAUUGGGCGUAAAGCGAGCGCAGGCGGUCUUUUAAGUCUGAUGUGAAAGCCCUCGGCUCAACCGAGGAAGGUCAUUGGAAACUGGAGGACUUGAGUGCAGAAGAGGAGAGUGGAAUUCCAUGUGUAGCGGUGAAAUGCGUAGAUAUAUGGAGGAACACCAGUGGCGAAGGCGACUCUCUGGUCUGUAACUGACGCUGAGGCUCGAAAGCGUGGGGAGCAAACAGGAUUAGAUACCCUGGUAGUC
RNAcentral lists this ribosomal RNA (465 nucleotides) under uncultured bacterium. Its description in RNAcentral is "bacterial SSU rRNA". It matches the Rfam family "Bacterial small subunit ribosomal RNA", at positions 338 to 795 of the family's 1533-position model. The record is from RNAcentral.